GAUGAACGCUGGCGGCGUGCCUAAUACAUGCAAGUCGAGCGAACAGACGAGGAGCUUGCUCCUCUGACGUUAGCGGCGGACGGGUGAGUAACACGUGGAUAACCUACCUAUAAGACUGGGAUAACUUCGGGAAACCGGAGCUAAUACCGGAUAAUAUAUUGAACCGCAUGGUUCAAUAGUGAAAGACGGUUUUGCUGUCACUUAUAGAUGGAUCCGCGCCGCAUUAGCUAGUUGGUAAGGUAACGGCUUACCAAGGCAACGAUGCGUAGCCGACCUGAGAGGGUGAUCCGCCACACUGGAACUGAGACACGGUCCAGACUCCUAAGGGAGGCAGCAGUAGGGAAACUUCCGCAAUGGGCGAAAGCCUGACGGAGCAACGCCGCGUGAGUGAUGAAGGUCUUCGGAUCGUAAAACGCUGUUAUUAGGGCAGAACAAAUGUGUAAGUAACUAUGCACGUCUUGACGGUACCUAAUCAGAAGGCCACGGCUAGCUACGUG
Molecule: ribosomal RNA, 497 nt
Filed under: uncultured bacterium
Lineage: Bacteria
Description: partial 16S ribosomal RNA
Rfam family: Bacterial small subunit ribosomal RNA
Source: RNAcentral